Molecule: long non-coding RNA, 285 nt
Filed under: Salvia miltiorrhiza (redroot sage)
Lineage: Eukaryota; Viridiplantae; Streptophyta; Magnoliopsida; Lamiales; Lamiaceae
Description: long non-coding RNA (SMIL_LNC000393)
Source: RNAcentral
CAUGGAUUGGGGAGGAAGAUUGACAGAAUCACGCAAUUGAAACGGUGAUUGAUGAAACUGAUUCAAUUAUUGCUAUGGGGUGCGAAAUUAAGGAGUUUUGAUUUGGUGUAUGCUGAUUCCCGUGAGAAUCUACGUGAGUUACAAAAUGGAGAGAAAAGAAUAUGUAUACGAGAUUUGAGAGAAUUCACAGAGAAGCAAAUAAAGAAUUGAGGUUGAGCCACGUAGGAGAGAGAGUGGCUGUGAGCUCUAAAAAAUGUAUUGCUUUAUAGAAUUGAUAGAUGUUAU